ACUCAUCCUCCGCUGCAGGUCGAACUGUAGACACAGAGAGCAACAGACAAAUCCCAGGCCCUCGUCGGGGAAGAAAGGGAUCAUGAAAUAAACAGAAAAAUAAAUGCGAAAUGCGGCCAGCGAUGAAAGCUCAGAAGGCGAGCUUACCCCGGACCCAAACGCGCAAUACUAACCGGGAGUGUAAGGAGGCCACGCCCUCCUCGCGUAUUUGUGCCCAAAUGAGCUGCCUCCCCAGCGUGCACCAAAUUCCUGAGCCACCUGCUCCGAGCUCGAUUUCCCUUUCAAGCUGUGUGUUCUGCGGGGGCAGGGAGAGCUGCAAGGGCUCAUCUUUCAGGACGUGCUGCAAAGGCCCUUUGAAGUCAUCCGCCCUGCUCUUGGCACCUUGCGCCUGGAGCUGAGCUCUUCCAAAAAUGACCCCUGCGCAUUCCGUGGUGCGGCCGCCCAGCCCAGGCAGUCGCGGUCCAGAGCAGGGGAAGCUGCAGCGCGGCCGACAGCUGGGAGAGCCGAGGCCCUGAGGGAGGACCCUGCCUCAAGCCAAGCAACCAGGCCCUGCGGCCCUCUCCCCACCCCUGUGCGGCCCUGGCGCAGGGAACCGGGACGGGGCUUUCAGGCCUUGAAGGGCAGACUUACUCCACCAAACAUUCCCAUCGUCGGCUGAUGGAGGGCCUCGAGCUGGGCGCUGUGGAUGCCCUUCUAGAGAGACCUGCCAGACUGAGCCGCUUCCGUCAGCCAGACAUGAGGAUAAGAGCGUUUAGUGAGGAAAUUGCCUAAUCAUUUGCAGGCUAAGAGGAAAGACCGCACUGCAGAACAACUUAUUUUAAUAGGAAGCACCAAGACUUCUUAUCUUAAUGCUGACGACCGCCCGUUUAUAUUAGAUGAUCCCCUGAGCGUCUCUCCUUUUGUCUCCUUGAGUUUGAACCCUUAAGACCACGUGGACGGUGGGGAAAUCCUCCCUCAACGUGCAUGGCUCAUCUCGCCACGAGGGGGCGCUCCCAGAUCAGAGACACGCGGCUGCCGCCCACCCACCUCGCGGCCGCCACCUCCUGUGCGUGCAUCAUCUUCGCGCACCUGCCCAGAGGGCGGGGCCGGGGGGUCUCCUGCCCCAUUAAGACUCCCUGAAGUCCAGGUGCAGCCCUGAAGGCUAGAGCAAGGUCACUACCGAGGAACAAGAUGUCCUGUGAGACGUCCCGGGAUCUCUGUGAAAACUCUGGACCUCUGGGAAGUCAAUGGGGACUGCACUGAGGGCCUACUGUGUGCCAGGGCUUUAUGUAACCCAAGUUAUUCACUCCACAAACACUGAGGGCCUGCAGAGGUGGCUGUCCAAGAAGGGAAGGAAGCUGAGGGUGAAGGAGGGAGCCUGACCCUCAGACCAGUUUCCCUGGCAGCCAGCAGAGCAUUCUGCAGCAUGCUGCCAAGCAAGAAAGUGGUCUCAGCUGUGCACUAGCUUCAGCCUGCUCCUAGGGGAGCUCUGGAGUGGGAGCUGCACUACCACGAGGUGAGUGACUGGUCUUUUAUGCCCCUAGAUCUGGAGUGGGGAGGGGUAUGACAGCCAGAAUCAGGGGCCUAGAUGUGGCUCCCAUAGCAUCCACCCCAAAUGUCAGCAAUGAUUGUUUUCAGAUUGUGGUUACGUUGAGGAUCCGUCCCUUAGGCAGAGAGCAUGGAGGUGGCUCUCAGAGACACCCUCUCUUCCAGGGCUCCCCAGGGCUCCUCAGUGUCAGCCCCAACUCUUUCAUGAGAGUGUGCUAGGACCUCCUUCUCCAAAAGAAAAUCUCCAGUGAAGAUCAAUGUGUAACCUUGGGAGGUUGAGAUGAGAGAGAUGAUGAGAUGAUAUGGUGGGGAUGCUUUAGGAGUUCCCAAGGCCUGCUGGUGCUCUCUGCAUACUCACCUGUGCCCAAACUGAACCAAGCUCAUUCUCGACGCUUUUCCUCUUUCUCUCUCCCAAUCCAGUCAGGUGCCUUGUCCUGCCGAUUCCAUACCCUUAAUGUUCCCUACCCAGACUGGCAGUUACUGUGUAGUUAGCAGACAAGCAAGGACUUUGGGGGUUACCCUAAAACCCCAACUUAGCUCUUGAGUGAAUCCGGGAAUGUCAGUGUGGAAGGGAUUUUUUGGAUGCAGAAAAGGUUUCUUGCAAGUACUUGUUACUUAAUAUUCAAUGUAAUACAGUAGCUUAAAAAAAAAACCCUAGUCAUUCUUAAGCCUUUAAGUUCAAUUUACAAAACUUAUUAUUCGAUUUCUAUGCAGUCAGUUUCAAGGGGCUUUUGAUUAAUGGUCAAUCGACUCAUACUCGGUUAAAUGAUUCAUACCAUUUGCAAACUUGGUUAAUUAAAUUAUCUUCAACAUUUUACACAGGACUUACUAAUUUAACGUAUUCAAUUUCCUUUUUUAAACACUUUCAUUGCCUGACCUGACAAGCAAAACUUUCCAAAGUACUUAAACCACUUUGGAAAAUCUAAUUUAAAAACUUAUACAACAGUGAAUCUCAAGAUCUCUUAUACAUUCUGGAGUCAUUUAUAAAUUUAGUAUAAAAAGAUUCAUGUGCUUCUCAACGGAAGAAUCACAAGUCUAAACUCAAUUACAUAUUUUAAAUAGGAGUCACAAGGCUAAUUUGUUCAUACUCUAAUAUGCAAAAAAAACCUCUUCAAAGUUGUGAAUACUUUAAAUACCAACUACACAAUAAUAUAGGCUUGACUUCUAAACCUUUGUGGGGUUAAAAGAUAUCUGCCCAGUGAUGGAAAAGUUCCCCAUUUUAAGGUAAUUGGGGUGACAUCUUUCAGUACAUUGUACUACCUCAGGGGCAAAGGUUUCAUAUUGUGGCAGAAACUGCUGGAUCUCUAAUAUCCGUGCUCCCCUGCCUCCUUAGAAAUAGAACCUCAGACUCUAAAUGGGCCAAUUGGCUACCUAGAAUAAAGAUGGCAUUUCCCAGCCUCCUUGUAUCUGAGUGUGGCCAUGUGACUCAGAUCUGGCCAGUGAGAUAAGCAGAAAUGUUACAUAGCAACUUCCAGAAAGGACAGCUGACGCGUAUGUCCUUUCCCCCUCUUUUUUAUUUGUUCCUCCAUCUUGCCACCUGGACCAUAGAUGUUGAUAUAGUUUGGAUAUUUGCCCCUGUCCACAUUUCAUGUUGAGUUGUAAUCCCCAAUGCUGGAGAUGGGGCCUGGUGGGAGGUGUUUGGAUCAUAAGGGCGGAUCCCUUGUGUGUGUCUUGGGCCAUCCCCUUGGUGGUGAGCGAGCUCUCGCUCUGAGUUCACAGGAGAUCUGGUCAUUGAAAAGUGUGUGUGGCACCUCCCUCGACCCCUGUCUCUCUCUCUCUUGCUCCUGCUUUCAUUAUGUGACGUGCCUGCUCCUCUUUCACGUUCCACCAGGAUUGUAAGCUUCCUGAGGCCUCCCUAGAAGCCGAGCUGAUGCCAGCACUAUGCUUCCUGUACGGCCCGCAGAACCAUAAGCCAAUUAAACUGCUUUCUUUAUAAAUUACCCAGUAUCAGGUAUUCUUUGUAGCAAUGCAAGAACAGCCUAACACAGGUGGAGUGGUCAGAUUCCAGUCACUGUCUUGGACCUGGAGGUCCAGGGUCCCCCUUUAGGGCUGGUGGUGUGAUGUGCUAUAGAAGAAUCUUGGGAUUCUGACAACUUCAUGAACAGCAUGUCCACUUCAACCUGUGAGAGAUUGUUUGGGAAGAUCCCUCCCAUCCCAGUGCUUCUUGGCAAUGUGACUUUGCCCUCUUCCCAUCAAGAGAUAAAGUCUGUUUCCCUCCCUUGAAUUGGAUGUGUCCCUGAAUCAACCCAGCACUGUGCUCCCACCUCCGUGUGGCAAAAUUGGCAUUGGGUGACUUUUGGGGCCUGACACUCCCAUGUGAGAAAGACAGCCUAGCCUCCCAGAAGAUGAGGGUCUCCAGCCAGGAGCACCAGCUGCUGGCACUGGAGUGAGCCCAUGUAGGACCCUUCUGCCCAGGCCACCUUCCAGUUGCCUGCAGUUUCAGAAGGGAGCCCAGGAGAAACCCACAGGGGAAGUUCACCAAUGUGCAAAACAUGAAGUGUAAAUUGUUGUUUUCAGCCACCAAGUUUUAGGGUGGUUUGUUGAUGCAGUGAAAGCUAAAUAAAAUCCAGCCCUGGGCUGCCCACCUCUGACUUUUUCAUGAGAAAGAAACUUUGAUCUUGUUUAAGGCAUGAUGGUUUUUGGUCUUGGGUGAACGGAAUCCUGAUGCACACAUGCACCUCUGGACCAGAGAUUUUUGCUUUGAUGUGAUACCUCAGUGGCCAGGGUGAUUCUCUCUUGCUGCUGAUGGAUGUGCUGAGCCCUUUUUUUUUUCCAAUCGGUUGCUAUGACAACAAGGGACUCCAUAUCCUCUAAAGAGGUUGGUAUCUUGUGGGCAAUUAGAUUCUGGCCAUACCAUUACCUAAUUCUUCUGUCUGAUCUGAGACCAGAGUUCCCUCCACCUCCCCCCAGCACCCCCGGCACUCCCCGCCUUGCCCUCCUCCUGCCCAGGAGGUUAAAGCUGGCUUCCUUUGCUAAUCUCCUUAUUGCUGAAUUGAAUUCUGAAGCUGUUUCUUGCCCUUGCUGUCUGCUCAGGCUGCAAUUCAGAUAGAUACUUAGAGGCUUCCUUUUGGAUUCUGCAUCUCUCCCUUUCUGGGCUCUGAGCUGUAACAUCCCUUAAGUCAAGUUAGAUACAGAAUGAGAGGCUUCUUCUUCUCCAAGCCUCUGUUUUCUUAUCUGCAAGACGGAGAGAGCUUACCAACCUAACAGGGUUGUUGG
Molecule: long non-coding RNA, 4743 nt
Filed under: Homo sapiens (human)
Lineage: Eukaryota; Metazoa; Chordata; Mammalia; Primates; Hominidae
Description: non-protein coding PDYN-AS1:12
Source: RNAcentral